UUUACACUGCAGAUGUUGGCGUUACAAGUGGGGGUAGUCCUGUGAACAGAGUGCUUAAAUCUGUGUGUAACUCUCUGCAGGAUCAGGACCAAUUUGUUGGCCAUGCUGCACCCUUUUCUUCAUCCUAAAAUGCUCCUUGGAUGCUAACUGGCUGUUUUGGCUUCGGAAGGAUUACAAGACUGGAUUAGCACAAGCUCUUUGUUGUUUUUCUGGACACUGACUCCUCCAGGAGUACUUAAAGAGCUAGGGGGAAUGCAUAUGAGAGAGCACUGAUAUGAAGAAAACUUCCCGAAGGUCAUGCAAAGGCAAACUUGUCUAGUGAGGAAUUGCCUUUCAGAAUAGACUGCAGCCUCAGCCUUCCACGGAAAGUUUCACAAGGUGAAUGGAUUGUGAUACUACUCCUAAGUAUCUGCCGUUAAAGGAGAUUUUUGCUCAUCACCAGCACGGUGUAGGGAUCGGUUGUCAUGAAAAGGAUUGCAGUACCUCUAGACUGCUUAAAAUUUCUGCAGAGCAACGGGAAAACCAGAAUUGCUUUUCAGGCUGUUGAGGUACUCAUCGGGGCCAUCCCCCGUCCCACCAAAAGAGCUCAGGUUUUGGGGGGCUGA
Non-coding RNA from Sturnus vulgaris (Common starling), 605 nucleotides. The record is from RefSeq and is a predicted model, not a curated record. NCBI's taxonomy places the organism in Eukaryota, Metazoa, Chordata, Aves, Passeriformes, Sturnidae.